CCCAGACUCCUACGGGAGGCAGCAGUGGGGGAUAUUGGACAAUGGGGGGAACCCUGAUCCAGCGACGCCGCGUGAGUGAAGAAGUAUCUCGGUAUGUAAAGCUCUAUCAGCAGGGAAGAAAGAAAUGACGGUACCUGAGUAAGAAGCCCCGGCUAAUUACGUGCCAGCAGCCGCGGUAAUACGUAGGGGGCAAGCGUUAUCCGGAGUUACUGGGUGUAAAGGGAGCGUAGACGGUGAAGUAAGUCUGGAGUGAAAGGCGGGGGCCCAACCCCCGGACUGCUCUGGAAACUGUGAAGCUGGAGUGCAGGAGAGGUAAGCGGAAUUCCUGGUGUAGCGGUGAAAUGCGUAGAUAUCAGGAGGAACACCGGUGGCGAAGGCGGCUUACUGGACUGUAACUGACGUUGAGGCUCGAAGGCGUGGGGAGCAAACAGGAUUAGAUACCCCCGUA
This 448-nucleotide ribosomal RNA is filed under the name uncultured bacterium. RNAcentral's name for it is "bacterial SSU rRNA". It matches the Rfam family "Bacterial small subunit ribosomal RNA", at positions 330 to 792 of the family's 1533-position model. The record is from RNAcentral.